GUAGGCAAUAUAUAAAUGUCAACAUGUGGUCUGAGUGUAUAAACUCCAGCUAUUUCCAGAGCUGCUCAAGAGUUCAGUGCAGUUGCCAGGUCAACACUUGGUGUUAGUAUUGUUUGAAGUGUUCUACAGUAUACAAGGACUGGGAGAUCAUGGGAUAAAUCAGACCUCAAGAAGUCUCUGUUCCAACUUUCUCUUUAUCUAUGAGGUCAUAGAGUCAUCUACAGGGUGGGGAGCUUUUAGGUUUCUCUGGGUUAUUUUUCUCACUGAGUUUUGAAAAACUCCACAAAUGGAGACUACACCACCUGCCAGUAACUUGUCUCACUGUUGGCUGUCCUGAUUAGAGAGGAAAAUUUUAUUGAUAACCCAUCUGAACCUUGCUCCCAUUCAGCUGGCCCACACAACAUAGGAACUGUAGGAAAACCAUGUUCUCAAGAACACCUGACCAUGAAUAACUGACUCUUUUAUGGAUGUUGUUUGCUGCUGGAAAAAACUUGCUAAUUGGAAAACUGCUGCACAUUAAGUCCUUCCUAAGCAGAUUGAUCAGGGAGGUGUCACCUCAUACUUUGCCACGGACUCUAACACAGACAUGUUGAGAUUCUUUGAAAAUAUUCAUCCUUAUGGACAAAAAAUGUCAUUCUUCGUGAAAGAAAUGGAAAGAAAAUACGAAGGGGACGUCACAGGGGCAAAAUCAUCCACUGGAUUUUUUGAACCCAGCUGUAAUCCAAGAAGAAAUUGCACAGAAAAAACAAGUAUUCAUUUACAUUAGAAAAAAAAAAAAAAGACCGUUUUAAAAUCCAAAAUCAAGUUGCAAGGAUCAGACUGAAGCACAUCUCUCCUCAAAGGGCACUGAUGGAAGUUGAUCUCAAGAUUUGAACAAAUACUAAAGGAAAGGCUUAGAAAACAAGUGAUGAUAAAGGCACAGUUUGGGAAUAUCAGUAGAGCAAACAUGCUGUCUGCUGCUUUUGAUGGUUGCAAGCACAACUUCAGUGUUUGCAGUAAACUAGUGACAAUUUCAGGUAUGAAUUCAGAAGCAUAGAAUCAAUUCCUUGCUAUAUUUCUAUGCUAGUUAUAUCACCUGAAGCAAUAAUUAAUCCAUCAAAAUUCAUUAUUUUCCCCCUAAAUCUCUGUUAGUUAAUUAUGGUUUACAAUAUAGCACACACUCAUCCAUAACAAUAACCCUUUAUAUAAUAACCCUUACAAACAAAACAAAGAUAACUAUGUGAAUCUUCUCUUGGGUAAGAGUAAAGCCCACAUCAUCAGAUCUCUUAAAAGUUUUAUGACUAGUUCAAGAUGUGAAUGCUCAAAUCAAAAUAUCUUGCCAUGAUUUAAUGUUCUGAGUUUAGAUGCUCCUUGGUUUAUGAAGAUUUCUUGGUUGCUAUUUGAUUACUCUGAAAUUAAAACAUACGAGUUAGUGGAUGACUUCUAGUAUCUAAACAAUAAAACCUUGAACAAUUAUAAAUCUUAAUAGCAGGAUUUUAGUACCCACUGUAAACAGUGAAUCUACAAAAAAUGAGGGGUUUUAUUUGCUCUCCUCUACUUAUUAUGCUUCUCUCACUGUCAGGUUUGAUUUUCUCAUCAUACAAAUGGAAAACAAGCUUUCCCUCACAGCCACUCACUCAGAGCCACUUUGGUUUCUGACAGGGGGUCUUUCUUUCUGACACAACACCAGUGACAACAGAGGUUGUGUUAGCCAAACUGUGACCUAAUCUCCCUUUCAA
Molecule: long non-coding RNA, 1718 nt
Organism: Passer domesticus (house sparrow)
Lineage: Eukaryota; Metazoa; Chordata; Aves; Passeriformes; Passeridae
Exons: 4
Source: RefSeq, a predicted model, not a curated record